AUUUGUUCUCCUUGGGACCUUUUGAUUUGUGACAGGUAUAUUAAUCGCAGGCUUGUGCAGAGAGUCUAUGACAGAGCUCUGGCAAUUGGAUUAAAAGGUUAUGCCAAGAUGCAUCAGACAGUAAUGUCUCGGUUGGCAGAUUGGGAAGGCAUUGUUAAGGCACGUUCUGUCAGAGAUUUUGACCACAGUUCUACUCGUGUUCUUGCUGA
This 209-nucleotide unclassified non-coding RNA is filed under the name Hevea brasiliensis (rubber tree). Lineage: Eukaryota; Viridiplantae; Streptophyta; Magnoliopsida; Malpighiales; Euphorbiaceae. The record is from RNAcentral.